This is a long non-coding RNA of Coregonus clupeaformis (lake whitefish), 1406 nucleotides long. RefSeq lists it as uncharacterized. The record is from RefSeq and is a predicted model, not a curated record. NCBI's taxonomy places the organism in Eukaryota, Metazoa, Chordata, Actinopteri, Salmoniformes, Salmonidae. The transcript is spliced from 4 exons.
CCGCUCAUCAAAAAGCUGAAAAUAGUAUUUCCACUGAAAUGUCAAACUUGUUAAUUGCUAACCCGUUAGCUAACAUUUUGACACCACCAAAAAUCACCUAACAUUGAUGGCUUGAUCACAAGAUAACACUGUUGAAGGUAAUGCAUUAUUUAAACGCUGUUGAAUAUGCCGAGAAUACGGCGUCCCACGCUACGUUUCCUCGUCCUCUUUUUUGUGUCAUACUACCUUUAGCUAGUAGGUAGCUAGCUAACAUAAGGGCGCUUGUGCUAGCUAGGUUACUUUCUAAGCUAAACUAACGUUAGCUAAUUUAGGUUUGUCUGCCCAUGUGUAUUAGCGCGAACUAGCUAGUAGCGUAUUAACCGUGUGUCAGCCCUUGAUUGCUAACGUAUGUUAGCUAAAAGCUAGCUGCUGUAAUGGCUAUCGAAAUAAUCAAUUUUGUCACAAUUUGUAGCCACUUGUUGUAGUUGCAGGGUCUUGAUAAAAUGGGUUAAUGGUUAUGUUUAGUCGUCUAGAUUCUUCUUUUAACAGAUGUGGCCGCUCAGAGAAUAGAAUUAGUAACAUGCAAAGAAGGACCACACAAGGGUGAUUUCAGAAAAUAUGACCAAGACAUUUGCACGCCAAAAGACAGGAAGUGAUCAACCAGUGUCCCAGUGUUGAAGACAUGAAAGACAGAUAGCCUGCUCUGUUUAGAAGCCUCUCAGGUGAGUCGGCAGGCAAAAAAAGAAAAUGCCAAAUGAUGUCUUCACUAUGACAAACCUCUUUGUUAUGAGCCUUGCUUGAUGAUAUUUCAGUAUUUGUCUUUCAGAUCAAUGAACAAUUCCACAGGCUCACCGCAAAGCAUCUUGAGGCAAGGUUUAUGCAGGACACCCCUAAGUUGCUGUCCUUAUUCCAUUCCAAGGGAGGAGUACUUUCAGACAGAUUGCGGGUCAGGCUGGAUGGAAGCUGAGGGGGGUCAUUUCCUGCAAGACCUUGCGCAACAUGUAAAGCAAAUCUAUGCGAUCAACAAGGAGGGUGCCGUGGCGAGUGAUGGUCCAGAGGAGCAGGUCAGGAACGGUGUCCUCUACCACAGGCCCGCUUGUUGUUGGUGAAGCCGCCUGGGACACAGAAUCUGUGCUGGGACCAACCUCUGCCUACCGGGGGAUGGUCACCGAGAGGCGGGGCUCGAGCACAUUGCGGUCUGGGACCCCGUCCCCGAUGGGCCCGUGGCGGUCAUCUAGGCUAAAGAGGUUAGAGGUUGCGGUUUGAAAUGUCCAUUUUUGAAUCCGUUGUACGUACCAUUUUGAGGUUUCAUCAAGGUACACACCUUUUACCACUGGUAUUUUGACAAUUCUACCAUCAAUCAAUCAAUCAAUGAAGUGGAUCUAUAAAGCCCUUUUUACAUCAACAGAUGUCACAAAGUGCUAUGC